UAAUACAUAAGUAACCUGCCCUAGACAGGGGGAUAACUAUUGGAAUCGAUAGCUAAGACCGCAUAGGUACGGACACUGCAUGGUGACCGUAUUAAAAGUGCCUCAAAGCACUGGUAGAGGAUGGACUUAUGGCGCAUUAGCUGGUUGGCGGGGUAACGGCCCACCAAGGCGACGAUGCGUAGCCGACCUGAGAGGGUGACCGGCCACACUGGGACUGAGACACGGCCCAG
This 230-nucleotide ribosomal RNA is filed under the name uncultured bacterium. RNAcentral describes it as "partial 16S ribosomal RNA". It matches the Rfam family "Bacterial small subunit ribosomal RNA", at positions 111 to 334 of the family's 1533-position model. The record is from RNAcentral.